Molecule: long non-coding RNA, 754 nt
Filed under: Phascolarctos cinereus (koala)
Lineage: Eukaryota; Metazoa; Chordata; Mammalia; Diprotodontia; Phascolarctidae
Description: lncRNA (ENSPCIG00000015070.2)
Source: RNAcentral
CCUUCAACCCCCACUGCUCCCAUCUGAUUCUAAGAGGUUAAAAGUCAUGAUGAUAAACUGCCUCUAAUAUAUUUGUCAACCUUGACCUUGGACAGAACUCUUCCCUCCUCACCUGAUCACACAGAGACAGUCUGCACAUCCUUCCAUGGCACACUGAAUCAUUGCAAGCUUGAGCCAUCAGCUCUUUGAUGGGGGCGGCAUUCCGAGGCUCAGACCUUCACAGGGAGCACUAUGGAAGUCAACAUCUCUGCCUUGUUCUUAUGAUCAGUUUGCACAGAUAGGCAAAUCCUGCUCAUAAGCAAUCCCUCGGUAGUCUCACAUGGUCUCUGCAGCAGACAUCAUGACCAUAGUGAUGAAGGAAACAUCUCUUCAUCAUUUUGUUGUCCCUGGUUUUGCAGAAAAGAGGGAAAAUGAGUAUUAUCCAGCGUUCAGAGGAGGCAAAGAAGAAAGAAGCACAUAAUUGGCAAAUUCCUGAGAAAGUGUCACUCAAAACAUGAUGGGAGUCUCCAAGGAAAAGUUGCUUUCCUUUCAAAGUAUUCCCAUUAAAAAGCUUUGAAAACUUGCCUCUGAAAACUUAUUUCAAGGCUGUGCCUUCUCUGAGAUCUAAUCAAGGCUGCACAUCUAAAACUAUAUAAAUUAACACUCUCAUUAGGGCCCUGAAUAGCUACAGGCUGUGUAUGAGACUCAGUAAAACAUCCCCAUUUAAAUGUAAAUUUUGACAUUCCACCCAAGAUGGAGAAAAAAAGUCUCCCCA